This 215-nucleotide ribosomal RNA is filed under the name uncultured bacterium. RNAcentral describes it as "partial 16S ribosomal RNA". It matches the Rfam family "Bacterial small subunit ribosomal RNA", at positions 524 to 738 of the family's 1533-position model. The record is from RNAcentral.
UACGAAGGGUGCAAACGUUGUUCGGAAUUACUGGGCGUAAAGCGCGUGUAGGCGGCUAAGUAAGUCGGGCGUGAAAUCCCACGGCUCAACCGUGGAAGUGCACUCGAAACUGGAUGGCUAGAGUCCUGGAGAGGAAGGUGGAAUGCUUGGUGUAGAGGUGAAAUUCGUAGAUAUCAAGCGGAACACCGGUGGCGAAGGCGGCCUUCUGGACCAGU